This is a long non-coding RNA of Oncorhynchus nerka (sockeye salmon), 2185 nucleotides long. RefSeq lists it as uncharacterized. The transcript has 3 exons. The record is from RefSeq and is a predicted model, not a curated record. NCBI's taxonomy places the organism in Eukaryota, Metazoa, Chordata, Actinopteri, Salmoniformes, Salmonidae.
UUGAAAUGUUUUUCACACUAAAUACAGAUUCUUUUCAGUUAGAUACAAUGAAAAUUGGAAUCAGGCUGUCUAACUGUGCUCACACUUUUAGGCCCCUGCAAUGAAGGAGAAGCUAACUCACGCACCUGAAGCAGGCACAGUAAAGUGCAUCAGUCCCAUCUAUUAGUGUGCAGAGCAGAAACUGAGUAUUAUGUCUUUCACUGUUUUCCCUUUGCAUUUUUACUACAUGGUACAUGAAUAGAAACGUCUUCCCAUCAGCAAAAGAGAAACCGAAAGUGGCAGAGAGAAAAAGUAAGAAUGAGUUGACUUAUGCUUCGAGUGGACUUUUGAGGUUUUUGUUUGGAAACAAACAGGUUAACACUUCAAGAGAAGUUACAGGUAGUUGCGAGCAGAUACCCAUUUACUUCCAGUCACGGCGCUAAUGUUGGUUAGCAUUGGCUGGCGAACUUCCUUCAUUCUGGACACAGAGACAUAAGAAUGGUACCCACUAAUUCGUCUGACUCUGGGGAAGUUGUCAAAAAUCCUGAAGUAUCCAUUUUUCAACAGCUGAAACACCUAAUGGUUAUGAAACCUACAGGAUGACCCCUAUUAGCAGAGUGGGAGCUUGGUUUUUUACACAAUAUAUAAUAAUAUGUCACUUGCAGAAAAUCCUUCAGAAGGAUGCUGCAACAUCUCUAAUACAUCCAGUUUUUCCUCCAGUUAUCUCUCGAUGUUAAUAAGAUUGUGCUAUUCCAUUUCCUCUGUUGGUGAAUACCGUCAUCGCGUGCUCAACCCUCCAUCACAUUACUAUGGCAACCCUUCCCCGAGGCCCACAACAUGGAUGAGUUUAUUUCCUCUCUGAAUUAUUGUAUUGGCUAAACAAGUAUGAACAACCUCGGAAAUGCAGCAUACCGAAUAUCUGAAUACAUGUUCUGCGGAGCAUGGAGCGAUCAGGUCAUGUAUGUAGGUUUGAGUCUCUCAUACAGGCAUCCUGAUUGUCUCCACACUCUCCUGAGCAGUUAAAUGUAGGGUUCAAAUGUUUACCUGUUUUGUCUACCCUCGGCAUAUGUUCUGCUCCUUCCACCCAAUGCCUAAUUUCCUCCCUGUAUCUAGACCAUUACCAUAGGAUCCCUCUCUGAAUUACCUCCCUGUAUACUGCCUGCGGUUUGUCUGCAUGGUAUAGCAAAGUGCCGAUUUACUGACCUGGGUAAUGGGUUUGGAAGAACUUCACUCCAGAUGUACAGUAAUUCCCUUCAAGGACUUGAACUCUAAAAUCAAACACAAACAGUGGGACAUCUGUGAAAACAAAACAAACAUGGUUAACUCUAUAUGGCUUUGCUGUGUUUUGACUACAUUGAUGAUAGGCAUACAGUAGGGUGAAACCGGGUGUCAUCUGGGUAUUACAUAUCCUUUUGCAUAACUGAUGAAUCUAUUUUCAUUAGAAUGAAGGAAGUGAUUUCAAUGGUUUUUAACUCCCUUGUCUAAUUCCAAAGAAAGAACCUGGUAGCUUUGUGAGAUUCUCAAAAGCUUGCCUUUAACCCUAUAAAAAACACUAUUCCGUGCGAUUUACCCUGGCUUUACCCUGAGGCUGUUUACACCAGCCAAAGAUUAAUUUAAAAAGUCCCCUUUGCAUUGUUUUAUAGAGCUUUGUGCUGAAACGUAUCUUGUAAAGGGUCGCAUGUUGGUGUUGUUGUAGAAUGUUGUGUAGGCAAAACAGGUAGCUAAUGAAGGAACAUUUUAUCUGUGGUGUUUCUUAGAUUGGAUGCUUAUUGUGGUCAAAACCCAGACUCCUGUUGUAUGUCUUGCUGCACUGCAGGCAAUCCAUUGUACAGCACUGAACCCGAUUUAUACGUUCCCACACAAGGUUAGGGAAAGAGUAUGCGUAGAGUAUGUGUAAUGUAACAUCUUCAAACAGUUUUUUUUAUAAAAGACGGGAAUCUCUUUGGAUUUGUGAUAUAGAUGGACCCGAUGACUGCGAAGACCGGCAUGUUUCUACUGUUUGACAUUUUCACAGCUAGAUUAGAAUGCAUGUGUUUGAUUAGAAUGCAUGUCACUCAUAUACAUCUUUCCUCCUUGCAUAAGAAGAAGACAAGGUGAAGGAUGUGAAGACAUCAGGCUGCAAAGCUAAAGCCACACACUCUGUGACGACGGCCCAGCCCACUAAACCACAUAAAGCUGAGAAGACUAAAAAGACUGAGAAGGCUGA